Molecule: ribosomal RNA, 433 nt
Filed under: uncultured bacterium
Lineage: Bacteria
Description: partial 16S ribosomal RNA
Rfam family: Bacterial small subunit ribosomal RNA
Source: RNAcentral
AGCGAACGCUGGCGGCAGGCCUAACACAUGCAAGUCGGACGGAUCCUUCGGGAUUAGUGGCGGACGGGUGAGUAACACGUGGGAACGUGCCCUUUGGUUCGGAACAACUCAGGGAAACUUGAGCUAAUACCGGAUGUGCCCUUCGGGGGAAAGAUUUAUCGCCAUUGGAGCGGCCCGCGUCUGAUUAGCUAGUUGGUGAGGUAACGGCCCACCAAGGCGACGAUCAGUAGCUGGUCUGAGAGGAUGAUCAGCCACACUGGGACUGAGACACGGCCCAGACUCCUACGGGAGGCAGCAGUGGGGAAUCUUGCGCAAUGGGCGAAAGCCUGACGCAGCCAUGCCGCGUGAAUGAUGAAGGUCUUAGGAUUGUAAAAUUCUUUCAGCGGGGACGAUAAUGACGGUACCCGCAGAAGAAGCUCCGGCUAACUUCGUG